GGGGCAACGACGCCGUCGCUGGCUGCAGCGGCAGCGACGACGGCGGUUUCGUACCAGUGUGCGUGAGUUGGGAAGAUGGAGGGCUUGGCGGCACGGUCGACGCGGACGAUGUAAGUCUGUUGGAUCACGGAAUCGACGGCUGAGAUGGACGGAGAGAGGGCUAAGAACAGGAGGAGGAGCAUUUUGAAAAUUGGAGACAUUUAUUUGAAUUUUUAAUUAUUAAUUUAUCAUCAUGAAAGUGAAGAAGGGAGGGGG
Molecule: unclassified non-coding RNA, 255 nt
Filed under: Hevea brasiliensis (rubber tree)
Lineage: Eukaryota; Viridiplantae; Streptophyta; Magnoliopsida; Malpighiales; Euphorbiaceae
Source: RNAcentral